AUCUGGUCGGAUCUGGAAUUCAACGGUGUGUGAUAUACCGUUAGGACUUUAAUAUGAUCUCGACUAUUUUACUAAUUUACCCUCGUCUUUCUAACUUCUUCAGUUUUGACGUUUACAUCUUUUCUAUAUACAGUGGUUGCCGUUUUUAGGUAUGGAAACAACGAGACUUAUCCUUGAGCGUUUGAUAAACGCUUCCACAUCGUUUGAUAACGAGACUUUUCUACAUACAGUAUCAAUCUUGUUUUGUUCAUACGUCACACACUCCAAGAUUUUGAUGGUAAAUUUUUUGUUUUUGUGUGUGUGUGUGUGUAAUGUGUAUGUU
Long non-coding RNA from Arabidopsis thaliana (thale cress), 322 nucleotides. RefSeq annotates it as other RNA. NCBI's taxonomy places the organism in Eukaryota, Viridiplantae, Streptophyta, Magnoliopsida, Brassicales, Brassicaceae. The transcript has a single exon. The record is from RefSeq.